UACGGAGGGUGCGAGCGUUGUUCGGAAUCACGGGGCGUAAAGGGCGUGUAGGCGGUCUGUUAAGUCUGAUGUGAAAGCCCGGGGCUCACCCCCGGAAGUGCAUUGGAUACUGGCGGACUCGAGUCUCGGAGAGGAGGGUGGAAUUCCUGGUGUAGCGGUGAAAUGCGUAGAUAUCAGGAGGAACACCGGUGGCGAAGGCGGCCCUCUGGACGAUGACUGACGCUGAGACGCGAAAGCGUGGGGAGCAAACAGG
Molecule: ribosomal RNA, 253 nt
Filed under: uncultured bacterium
Lineage: Bacteria
Description: partial 16S ribosomal RNA
Rfam family: Bacterial small subunit ribosomal RNA
Source: RNAcentral